AAACCGGCCUCGUGGACCAGAGGAUUAUGACCAAACUUGGAGUUGUCUUAAUUUCCAAGAACCUUCCCUUACACUGACUGCUCAUGUCAAGCCCAACGCUUUCGUGUGUGUGUGCAUAUCUAUAUAUAACUCCAUUUCCGGAGGCAGGGAUCACUCAACUUCCUCUCUCGCUCCUCUCUACAACAAUCUCGUGCUCUUUUCCGGCAAACUCCUCCUUCGUCUUUGUCCAUCUUUCUUGCUAUUUUAUAAGUUACCAAGUCAAAAACCCGACAAGCCUUUUUUCUUUGAAGACGAUGAGUUACGUUUCAAGCAACAGAAAGCCACUGUUGUCUCGGAAAGCAACCAACGACGGUCAUGCCGAGAACUGUCCCUAUUUCGAUGGGUGGAAGGCCUACGACAAGGACCCAUUUCAUCCUACGCAGAAUCCCAGUGGUGUCAUCCAAAUGGGUCUUGCAGAACAUCAGCUCUGUUUCGACUUGGUUCAAGAAUGGCUCGUCAGCAACCCAGAAGCCUCCAUCUGCACUAAGGAAGGAGUGGACAAAUUCAGGGACAUUGCCCUCUUUCAGGAUUAUCAUGGCUUGCCCGCGUUCAGAAACGCUGUGGCGAAGUUCAUGGGGAGAGUGAGGGGGGACAAGGUCAAGUUUGAUCCCGACCGGAUUGUCAUGAGCGGGGAGCCACAGGAGCUCACGAGAUGAUCACAUUCUGCCUGGCUGAUCCUGGCGAUGCGUUCUUGGUGCCAACCCCUUACUAUGCAGGAUUUGAUCGAGAUUUGUGUUGGAGGACCGAAGCACGACUUCUCCCCGUAGUCUGUCACAGCUCUAACAAUUUCAAGGUCACCAGGAAGGCUUUGGAAGAAGCAUACGCAAAAGCUGUUGAGGCCAACAUCAGCGUAAAAGGGUUGCUCUUAACCAAUCCAUCAAACCCACUAGGGACCAUCUUAGACCGAGACACGUUGAGAGAAGCCAUGAGCUUCAUCAACGAGAAGAACAUCCACCUCAUUUGCGAUGAGAUAUAUGCUGCUACAGUCUUUCGUCAGCCUGAUUUCAUAAGCAUCGCAGAGAUAAUCGAGGAAGAUCAAGAAUACAAUCGCAACCUCGUGCAUAUAAUUUAUAGCCUCUCAAAAGAUAUGGGUUUCCCUGGCUUCAGGGUUGGGAUUGUGUAUUCAUACAAUGAUGCCGUGGUGGAGUGCGGCCGGAAGAUGUCCAGCUUCGGUCUAGUAUCCUCCCAAACUCAGUACCUAAUUGCAUCCAUGUUAUCGGACGAUCAGUUCAUCGCGAAAUUCCUGUUGGAGAGUGCGGGGAGGUUAGCGACGAGGCAUAAUGAUUUCACUGACGGACUUCGUCAGGUAGGCAUCAAGUGCUUGAACGGCAAUGCGGGUCUCUUCUUAUGGAUGGAUUUGAGGGGGCUCCUGAUGGAGAGCACCGUAGAGGCAGAGACGGCUCUGUGGCGGGUUAUAAUUAACGAUGUCAAGCUCAAUGUCUCGCCGGGUUCUUCCUUUCACUGCUCAGAGCCAGGAUGGUUCAGAGUUUGCAUUGCCAACAUGAAUGACGAGACCACGAAGGUUGCUUUAGCACGAAUCCGAGAGUUUGUGCUGAGGAAUGGCAAUAAGCCGAACAGGAAGGAGAAGUGCUGGCAGAGCGACCUAAGGCUUAGACUCUCGUUCCGAAGAAUAGACGAUGUGUUGAGGUCGCCCUGCAUUAUGUCCCCUCACUCGCCCAUCCCUCAAUCACCACUGGUUCGAACCAGAACUUGAAGUUGACAAUCACGUGAUUCUACAAACAGGCAUUUUUCCCAUUAAAUUGAGAGCUUUCCAAAUGUCAAAUAGGGAAUUGGAUUCCUUAUUUGCUUAGUAGACAGGAUCAAAGAUUCUUUGGUAAGGAAAAAAAAACUAGAAAAGCUGAAAUAUAGGUCGGGACUAUACCUUGUAAGCGGGUGCAGAGCAGAAUGCAUCCUAAUUUUUCUGCACCCCAGUUUGUUCAUUCUUUCAUCAGGCACGGUAUUUUAAUUCUUUCCUUCUGUAUCAUCCCUAAGAUGGCCCUAAGUUGCUCAAUUGAGUAUAAGCAGGAACCCAUCAGGAUUGACAUUUUCAACAA
RNA transcript from Eucalyptus grandis, 2093 nucleotides. It is a transcript of the gene named 1-aminocyclopropane-1-carboxylate synthase, with no coding region annotated. The transcript is spliced from 4 exons. The record is from RefSeq and is a predicted model, not a curated record. NCBI's taxonomy places the organism in Eukaryota, Viridiplantae, Streptophyta, Magnoliopsida, Myrtales, Myrtaceae.